Molecule: ribosomal RNA, 254 nt
Filed under: uncultured bacterium
Lineage: Bacteria
Description: partial 16S ribosomal RNA
Rfam family: Bacterial small subunit ribosomal RNA
Source: RNAcentral
UACAGAGGGUGCGAGCGCUGUCCGGAAUCACUGGGCGUAAAGGGCGCGUAGGUGGUGGCUUAAGCGUGCGGUGAAAGCUCGGGGCUCAACUCCGAGUCGGCCGUGCGAACUGGGCUCACUGGAGCAUAGUAGAGGCAGGUGGAAUUCCGGGUGUAGCGGUGGAAUGCGUAGAGAUCCGGAAGAACACCGGUGGCGAAGGCGGCCUGCUGGGCUAUGGCUGACACUGAGGCGCGACAGCGUGGGGAGCAAACAGG